Non-coding RNA from Physcomitrium patens, 557 nucleotides. The record is from RefSeq and is a predicted model, not a curated record. NCBI's taxonomy places the organism in Eukaryota, Viridiplantae, Streptophyta, Bryopsida, Funariales, Funariaceae.
AUGCAAUCACAUCAUGUACAUAUUCCUAGUCGCACUACUGUUCUGACUUUUUUGGCAGAGAAUGCGACACUAGGAUGGUGGCAUUAGUGAGGUCGACUGGUUUGUGAAGAGAAAUUGAAGAUCAACAUUGUAUUUGGAGCGUAUUGAGUAAAAGACUUUCGAAAUCUCCGCAACUCACUUUAAAAUCCCCAUUUGCAACGUUAUGGCUAUGACAUGCCAUCAUGCGAACUAUCCAUUAAUUAUAAUUACGAGUUCCUUAUCAGGAGAUCACAGCAUUGACUCCAGCAACAGAAGAAACAACAAUUUUUCCAAAAUAAGGCCAUUCUAGUGCAGACGCCCUCUCUUACUACAUCAUCCGUUUUUGGCAUCAUUGCCUUCGACUUCUUAGUGGAAAGAGUUGGAGAUUGUUUCAUAGCUGGAGCUGCAGUAGGCACGGAAUCGUGCAAGGAAGGAUCACAGAAAUCGACGACUAAACAGAUCAAGCAGGCAAUUUAUAUGUAAUCUUGUUAUUGAAAUAAGACCAAGUAAUACAAAUACUGGGGAUUUAGACGAGGUAA